RNAcentral lists this transfer RNA (61 nucleotides) under Marmota marmota marmota (Alpine marmot). It matches the Rfam family "tRNA", at positions 6 to 65 of the family's 71-position model. From Rfam's summary of the family: Transfer RNA (tRNA) molecules are approximately 80 nucleotides in length. Their secondary structure includes four short double-helical elements and three loops (D, anti-codon, and T loops). RNAcentral also lists the same sequence under 4 other names. Lineage: Eukaryota; Metazoa; Chordata; Mammalia; Rodentia; Sciuridae. The record is from Rfam by way of RNAcentral.
UGUGGCUUAGUGGUGGAGCACUUGCCUAGCAUGCAUGAGGCACUGAGUUUGAUUCUUAGCA